Oreochromis aureus is the source of this 857-nucleotide non-coding RNA. The record is from the annotation of a RefSeq genome assembly. NCBI's taxonomy places the organism in Eukaryota, Metazoa, Chordata, Actinopteri, Cichliformes, Cichlidae.
UAGGCGGUGCUCUCCUUCUGCACUGUGUUCAACCAUUGUGUCAAUAAUAAGUGCUGCUGUGAAGAGAACAAUUCUCAGACUGAAUGUUGAACAUCAGCUAGUUUCUCCUGUUGAUUUAAACCUUGUUGUACAGAUGGAACAUUGGCUGUGGAUUAUUCUUGCUGCUCUUUUCUUUGAGUGUAAAGGAGAAGACAAAGUGAUCCAGGAACAAGGAGAUGUCAUUGCUGCUGAAGGAGACACAGUUACACUUGGAUGUAGAUUUGAAACCAGUGACCCAGGCCCGACUUUGUUCUGGUACAAACAGAAAAAGAACGGUUCCCCAAAACUUUUAGUUCAACAAUUUUUCUUAUCAGCAGAUAAUUCUGAAGCAAAGGACAGAUUUGAUGCUGAAGUCGACAAGAAAGAAAAGUCAGUUCCUCUGAAGAUCCAGAAGCUUCAGCUGUCUGACUCUGCUGUGUACUACUGUGCUCUGCAGCCCACAGUGACAGGAAACACCAAAACUCUGUACAAAAACCUUUGGAGCAAAGACAACAGAAUACUCCACAACAUCCACUAGAGGGAGCCACACACUGUUAAACCUCUGAUUCUUGUGUCAUUGGACUGAUGACAAAGACAACAGAGAAACGUGACUAUCCAGUUCUGGGACCAGGAGUUGCAGUUUUAACAGUCGUCCACACCAGCUUAUUAUUUUUGUUUUUGAUAUUUUUUUUUUAUUUUUAAAACAUAUUUUUUCCAACAUUUAAAACAAAAACAAACCCCAAACAAACAAAAACAAACAACCAUGCACUUCACAAACACCACAGGUACCAAAAGCUGGAGUUGAUUAGAGUUUACAAAUCUGGGUCCAGUUUAGUCCA